GGUUAAGCGACUAAGCGUACACGGUGGAUGCCCUGGCAGUCAGAGGCGAUGAAGGGCGUGCUAAUCUGCGAUAAGCGCCGGUAAGGUGAUAUGAACCGUUAUAACCGGCGAUACCCGAAUGGGGAAACCCAGUGUGAUUCGUCACACUAUCAUUAACUGAAUCCAUAGGUUAAUGAGGCGAACCGGGGGAACUGAAACAUCUAAGUACCCCGAGGAAAAGAAAUCAACCGAGAUUCCCCCAGUAGCGGCGAGCGAACGGGGAGGAGCCCAGAGCCUGAAUCAGCAUGUGUGUUAGUGGAAGCGUCUGGAAAGGCGCGCGAUACAGGGUGACAGCCCCGUACACAAAAGCGUAUGUGCUGUGAGCUCGAUGAGUAGGGCGGGACACGUGGUAUCCUGUCUGAAUAUGGGGGGACCAUCCUCCAAGGCUAAAUACUCCUGACUGACCGAUAGUGAACCAGUACCGUGAGGGAAAGGCGAAAAGAACCCCGGCGAGGGGAGUGAAAAAGAACCUGAAACCGUGUACGUACAAGCAGUGGGAGCACCCUUUGGGGUGUGACUGCGUACCUUUUGUAUAAUGGGUCAGCGACUUAUAUUCUGUAGCGAGGUUAACCGAAUAGGGGAGCCGGAGGGAAACCGAGUCUUAAUUGGGCGUUAAGUUGCAGGGUAUAGACCCGAAACCCGGUGAUCUAGCCAUGGGCAGGUUGAAGGUUGGGUAACACUAACUGGAGGACCGAACCGACUAAUGUUGAAAAAUUAGCGGAUGACCUGUGGCUGGGGGUGAAAGGCCAAUCAAACCGGGAGAUAGCUGGUUCUCCCCGAAAGCUAUUUAGGUAGCGCCUCGUGAAUUCAUCUCCGGGGGUAGAGCACUGUUUCGGCUAGGGGGUCAUCCCGACUUACCAACCCGAUGCAAACUGCGAAUACCGGAGAAUGUUAUCACGGGAGACACACGGCGGGUGCUAACGUCCGUCGUGAAGAGGGAAACAACCCAGACCGCCAGCUAAGGUCCCAAAGUCAUGGUUAAGUGGGAAACGAUGUGGGAAGGCACAGACAGCCAGGAUGUUGGCUUAGAAGCAGCCAUCAUUUAAAGAAAGCGUAAUAGCUCACUGGUCGAGUCGGCCUGCGCGGAAGAUGUAACGGGGCUAAACCAUGCACCGAAGCUGCGGCAGCGAC
RNAcentral lists this ribosomal RNA (1170 nucleotides) under Salmonella enterica. Its description in RNAcentral is "partial 23S ribosomal RNA". It matches the Rfam family "Bacterial large subunit ribosomal RNA", at positions 1 to 1212 of the family's 2925-position model. The record is from RNAcentral. Lineage: Bacteria; Pseudomonadati; Pseudomonadota; Gammaproteobacteria; Enterobacterales; Enterobacteriaceae.